GAUGAACGCUGGCGGCGUGCCUAAUACAUGCAAGUCGAGCGAAUGACGAGGAGCUUGCUCCUCUGAUUUAGCGGCGGACGGGUGAGUAACACGUGGGUAACCUGCCUGUAAGACGGGGAUAACUCCGGGAAACCGGAGCUAAUACCGGAUGAUAACGAGAAGCGCCUGCUUCUUUUUUGAAAGUCGGUUUCGGCUGACGCUUACAGAUGGGCCCGCGGCGCAUUAGCUAGUUGGUGGGGUAACGGCUCACCAAGGCGACGAUGCGUAGCCGACCUGAGAGGGUGAUCGGCCACACUGGGACUGAGAAACGGCCCAGACUCCUACGGGAGGCAGCAGUAGGGAAUCUUCGGCAAUGGACGAAAGUCUGACCGAGCAACGCCGCGUGAGCGAUGAAGGCCUUCGGGUCGUAAAGCUCUGUUGUCAGAGAAGAACAAGUACCGGAGUAACUGCCGGUACCUUGACGGUACCUGACCAGAAAGCCACGGCUAACUACGUGCCAGCAGCCGCGGUAA
This 512-nucleotide ribosomal RNA is filed under the name uncultured bacterium. RNAcentral's name for it is "partial 16S ribosomal RNA". It matches the Rfam family "Bacterial small subunit ribosomal RNA", at positions 28 to 523 of the family's 1533-position model. The record is from RNAcentral.